Molecule: long non-coding RNA, 659 nt
Organism: Armigeres subalbatus
Lineage: Eukaryota; Metazoa; Arthropoda; Insecta; Diptera; Culicidae
Exons: 3
Source: RefSeq, a predicted model, not a curated record
GUGAUGGAGAUCAGAUAGUAAAUCCUGGUGUUGCAGGAUGUUACGGGCAGGGGUAUGUUAACACCGCUAUCAUACCCACCGUGUCCACCAACACUGCUACAUACAAACGGAACAAGCCUGCCUGAGUUUCGUUGCCGAUUUACAUCGUCUGCUUAGAAAGGAGGAUAAAGAAUGAAUUGAUAGAAGAAAAGAUGAAGAAAUGUAAACAAAUCUGCCAUUAGGAUUGAAUUAGAUGCGUUGAAUUUAUAAAAUCUUAUACUGUGAAUUAUAAGUGCCAGUAAACUAUCUUGUGCUUAGGAUUGUGGAAUAUUUGCAUCCAACUGUUCAUCUCGGUGAUCGCCUUAUAUCGUAACUGAAAAGAAAAGAAAUCAUAAUUAAUUGCGGCUUGGAAAGUAUCCGAUACAAAAAGAAACCAGGAUCGAGUAGAAAGGUGUGGUGUGCAAGAGUACAAUAAGACCAAUUAUUGUAAGUAGACACUAAAGAUAAAACUGUGAGUUGCUAAUUAAAUAUAAAUUCUAGUUUGAGCUGCCGCAAAAUCCAGGCUGCUUCGAGAAAUUUGGUUCAAAUCCGAACAAAUUCCUCUAUCUGUAUUUCUUUCCUUCAAAUGUAUCUUUGCUUGAAACCCAUUUCCUUUUUUAAACAUUUUUAUAUUUUAUCUA